This 718-nucleotide ribosomal RNA is filed under the name uncultured bacterium. RNAcentral describes it as "bacterial SSU rRNA". It matches the Rfam family "Bacterial small subunit ribosomal RNA", at positions 781 to 1500 of the family's 1533-position model. The record is from RNAcentral.
GAUACCCUGGUAGUCCACGCAGUAAACGAUGAGCACUAAUUGUCCGGUCCGAAUGAGGACUGGGUGAUACAGCGAAAGCGUUAAGUGCUCCACCUGGGGAGUACGCCGGCAACGGUGAAACUCAAAGGAAUUGACGGGGGCCCGCACAAGCGGAGGAACAUGUGGUUUAAUUCGAUGAUACGCGAGGAACCUUACCCGGGCUCAAACGCGGCGUGAAUACUUUUGAAAGGAGGUAGUCAGCAAUGACACGCCGCGAGGUGCUGCAUGAUUGUCGUCAGCUCGUGUCGUGAGAUGUUGGGUUAAGUCCCGCAACGAGCGCAACCCCUGUCCUUAGUUGCCAGCACGUAAAGGUGGGAACUCUAAGGAGACUGCCGGUGAUAAAUCGGAGGAAGGUGGGGAUGACGUCAAAUCAUCAUGCCCUUUAUGUCCUGGGCUACACACGUACUACAAUGGCCGUGACAGAGAGAAACGAAGUAGUGAUGCAGAGUAAAACUCAAAAAACGGUCUCAGUUCGGAUUGAAGGCUGAAAUUCGCCUUCAUGAAGCUGGAAUUGCUAGUAAUGGCAGGUCAGCAUACUGCCGUGAAUACGUUCCCGGGCCUUGUACACACCGCCCGUCACACCAUGAGAGUUGGAAAUACCCGAAGCCUGUGAGCUAACUUAAAGAGGCAGCAGUCGAAGGUAGAGCCAAUGAUUGGGGUGAAGUCGUAACAAGGUACC